Molecule: long non-coding RNA, 347 nt
Filed under: Pongo abelii (Sumatran orangutan)
Lineage: Eukaryota; Metazoa; Chordata; Mammalia; Primates; Hominidae
Description: lincRNA
Source: RNAcentral
CAUGGCCGGGCAGGAAGAGCAGGGUCCCGCCUUCAGGUGUUUGGGACUCAGCUGAGGGUGUGGGUGCCCCGCGGUGGGGGCUGAACCUUCCUGGGGUGUGGAGAGACGAAAGGAGCCCAGAUCCAAGUUCCCUCGUUCCCGCUUUGGCACAAGUUGCCCUGGCGGUCUCAUGAGAGAGAGAGAGAGCUGGGACCCUCCUCGCCCCAUGUAACAUCAGACAAGGGUGUUGACUCUGCAGCACAGAACCAGUAGUUUGUGGAGAAGAAUGAGGUGUGGUGUUGAAUCUGCUAGACAGGCUACUGAAGCAAAAGUCAAGAGAUCCAGAUCCCAUCAUGGGGACACUUUAG